This 1352-nucleotide ribosomal RNA is filed under the name metagenome. Its description in RNAcentral is "bacterial SSU rRNA". It matches the Rfam family "Bacterial small subunit ribosomal RNA". The record is from RNAcentral.
AGAGUUUGAUCCUGGCUCAGGAUGAACGCUGGCGGUAUGCCUAACACAUGCAAGUCGAACGGAAUCUUCGGAUUUAGUGGCGGACGGGUGAGUAACGCGUGAGAAUCUGCCUUCAGGAUGGGGACAACAGUUGGAAACGACUGCUAAUACCCGAUAUGCAGCGAUGUGAAAGAUUUAUCGCCUGGAGAUGAGCUCGCGUCCGAUUAGCUAGAUGGUGUGGUAAAGGCGCACCAUGGCGACGAUCGGUAGCUGGUCUGAGAGGAUGAGCAGCCACACUGGGACUGAGACACGGCCCAGACUCCUACGGGAGGCAGCAGUGGGGAAUUUUCCGCAAUGGGCGAAAGCCUGACGGAGCAAUACCGCGUGAGGGAGGAAGGCUCUUGGGUCGUAAACCUCUUUUCUCAGGGAAGAACAAAAUGACGGUACCUGAGGAAUAAGCAUCGGCUAACUCCGUGCCAGCAGCCGCGGUAAUACGGAGGAUGCAAGCGUUAUCCGGAAUGAUUGGACGUAAAGCGUCCGUAGGUGGUUUUGUAAGUCUGUGGUUAAAGCGUGGAGCUUAACUCCAUAAGGGCCAUGGAAACUACAUAACUAGAGUCAAGUAGGGGUAGAGGGAAUUCCCAGUGUAGCGGUGAAAUGCGUAGAGAUUGGGAAGAACACCGGUGGCGAAAGCGCUCUACUGGACUUGUACUGACACUGAGGGACGAAAGCUAGGGGAGCGAAAGGGAUUAGAUACCCCUGUAGUCCUAGCCGUAAACGAUGGAUACUAGGUGUUGCCCGUAUCGACCCGGGCAGUGCCGUAGCUAACGCGUUAAGUAUCCCGCCUGGGGAGUACGCACGCAAGUGUGAAACUCAAAGGAAUUGACGGGGGCCCGCACAAGCGGUGGAGUAUGUGGUUUAAUUCGAUGCAACGCGAAGAACCUUACCAGGGCUUGACAUGUCUGGAAUUCCGGCGAAAGUUGGAAGUGCCUUCGGGAACCAGAACACAGGUGGUGUAUGGCUGUCGUCAGCUCGUGUCGUGAGAUGUUGGGUUAAGUCCCGCAACGAGCCAACCCUCGUUUUUAGUUGCCAUCAUUAAGUUGGGCACUCUAGAAAGACUGCCGGUGACAAACCGGAGGAAGGUGGGGAUGACGUCAAGUCAGCAUGCCCCUUACGCCCUGGGCUACACACGUACUACAAUGCUAUGGACAAAGGGCAGCCAACUGGCGACAGUGAGCUAAUCCCAUAAACCAUGGCUCAGUUCAGAUCGCAGGCUGCAACUCGCCUGCGUGAAGGCGGAAUCGCUAGUAAUCGCCGGUCAGCAUACGGCGGUGAAUCCGUUCCCGGGCCUUGUACACACCGCCCGUCACACCAUG